UCAAAGGAUUUAUUGAAAUCCAUAAACAAUGUCAUAUUUUUCCAUU
Molecule: non-coding RNA, 46 nt
Organism: Ananas comosus (pineapple)
Lineage: Eukaryota; Viridiplantae; Streptophyta; Magnoliopsida; Poales; Bromeliaceae
Source: Rfam